GCAACCAUAAUAUUUUUGCGAUAUAAACAUAGUCAGCAACUACACAUGUGGUGUUGUCAUCUUGCAAAAACUUGAUCUACCAAUCUACCAAAUUAAGAAAAGAUAUCAUGGGGGCAGAGAAUAGACUAGAUGGCUUUGCGUUCAAGCUAAUGAUCCAGCUACGGCAAGUAAAAAAAACAAGUAGACUCGCAUGUGAGCUGCUUCUGUUUCGCUUUACGGCUAUUCACACGGCAAAACUGCUUCAUCUGAUCCAGCUACAGCCUAUCAUAAUUUGAAGACACAUGCAUCAGUGAACACACAUAGUAGUAUAACAGUGGGAUUAGUAAAGCUACGGACUAUCAUAAUUGAAAUCCUUUUUAAUAUAAUACUUGCAAAUCACAAACUUGCAGACAUCUAGAACUGACCUGAGGAUGUGAAGUGAAGCUACGGCCUAUCAUAAUUGAAAUCCUUUUGACUAUAAUACUUGCAGAUCACAAACUUGCAGACAUCUAGAACUGCCUUGAGUAUGUAAUUGAUAUCAGUUUGGAAGGGUACAAAUCUUUUUUGAAGAUAGGUUGGAAGAGAUGGCGUCCAAGGAUGGCGCCUAUCGAGGGCACAACACAGAGCAGGGUGGCAGCACUGGGCACAGCGUGGAGCAGGACGCAGGGCAGUGACAGGCGUCGGCACCUUGUUCUGCAGGGGCAUCGUGAUCACCAUUGCAGGAUGUGGAGGGCGCGACGCCGAACACAGCAGGACUCUUGUGGUCUGAGUCAGUGACGGCGUGACAGGCGCCAGCAGGUCUCGAUCUCGACGCCCUGCUCCACCCCCCUAAGCUUGCGGCCGCCGGGCGACGAGUCCUUCUGCUGCUGGCCAUCAACACAGAUGUCAGCGGGCCGCUGAGUUCGACGAGCUAGCGCACACCAUCAUGCCGGUGCUCACGCCCUAUGCUCCAUACCUCAACCAGCGGGCGUAGUUGCUCGAGUCCGUCCGCACCUUCGACCGCAGUGACAAUGUCGACAUCUCCACUACCAAGACCGUGUGCUACAUGGCGAGGCUGGGCCAGCUGCUCACCUUCGAGGAGCUCAUGAUGUGGGACA
RNAcentral lists this long non-coding RNA (1076 nucleotides) under Triticum aestivum (bread wheat). RNAcentral's name for it is "long non-coding RNA (TAES_LNC009868)". The record is from RNAcentral. Lineage: Eukaryota; Viridiplantae; Streptophyta; Magnoliopsida; Poales; Poaceae.